AGUCAACGCUGGCGGCGUGCCUAACACAUGCAAGUCGAGCGCGAAAGCGGGGUAACUCGCAAGUAGAGCGGCGAACGGGUGAGUAACGCGUGGGUGAUCUACCUCCGAGUGGGGAAUAACACCGGGAAACUGGUGCUAAUACCGCAUGACAUCCUCGGAUCACACUGGGGAUCAAAGCCGGGGACCGCAAGGCCUGGCGCUUGGAGAGGAGCCCGCGUCCGAUUAGCAGUUGGCGGGUAACGGCCACCAAGCGACGAUCGUAGCCGGCCUGAGAGGGCGGGACGGCCGACACUGGGACGUGAGACACGGCCCACGAC
RNAcentral lists this ribosomal RNA (317 nucleotides) under uncultured bacterium. Its description in RNAcentral is "bacterial SSU rRNA". It matches the Rfam family "Bacterial small subunit ribosomal RNA", at positions 30 to 336 of the family's 1533-position model. The record is from RNAcentral.